RNAcentral lists this microRNA (23 nucleotides) under Blattella germanica (German cockroach). The record is from RNAcentral. Lineage: Eukaryota; Metazoa; Arthropoda; Insecta; Blattodea; Blattellidae.
GGCGGGUCUGGGUCUGGAUUACG